UUUGGAAAACUUAUUGAAAAUGCACCAUAAGGUACUCUCAUUCACUCUGAUAAUGACCUAUAUACCCUUAUUUUUGUAUGCACUGUUCUAACUAAUUUUUAAGCACUGUUUAAAACUGUGUAUAAUUUGUAUUAAAACAGAUGAAUCACCAAAGAAAAGAAAAACUCAAAGUUCUAAUAGUGGCCUGGGUGCAGUGUAUUCGAAUUAUCAACAGUGCUCCUCAAAUAAAGAAAAUAAAAGAAAAAGAUUUUACUUUCUAUGAGUACCCACAGCAUCUUCAAGCAGAACAAUGGAAAUUGAUCAGACCAGACAGUCUGGAGAAUUUACCAUGGAUAGAAGUAACUAAAGUGACAGCAACACAUUCGAUUGGUUUAAUGGAUAUUUUGGACAGGAGUAGCAGACUGGUACAUUGAUUCCAAAAUCUUGAACAAACAACAACUGAACACAUUCUUGUCUCUUUUAAGUGGGAUAAUGUUAAUCUUUACAAAAUGCCAGCACAAUUGAAAUUAAUAUGGGAUAGUUGAAAGAAGAAAUUUCAAAAUGAUACAUAUUAUCACAAUGUUGAAUUUAGACAAUCUCUAUUUUUGUGAAACAGUUUUUUUAAACUUUAAAUACUGUGAUGAUCUACAAAACAUUAUUAAAAGAUGAACAUGUAAGUCUCAAGUGUGAUCCAGUUUUUAACCGCUUUUCGCUUGAAAAAAAAUCAAGCUUUUUUAAAUUUAUGAAGUGACAACAAUUGUUUUUACUGGAUUUACAUUGAAUAAAUAAUAUUAUCCAGACAUUAAAAUAAAAA
Molecule: long non-coding RNA, 793 nt
Organism: Mytilus californianus (California mussel)
Lineage: Eukaryota; Metazoa; Mollusca; Bivalvia; Mytilida; Mytilidae
Exons: 2
Source: RefSeq, a predicted model, not a curated record